UGGCUGUCUUUUCCUUCUCACAACAGCUGAACAGAUGGGUAAGGAUGGCAGGGGUUAUGUCCCAGCUACCAUCAAGAUGACCGUGGAAAGGGACCAACCACUUCCUACCCCAGAGCUCCAGAUGCCUACCAUGGUGCCUUCUUAUGACCUUGGAAUGGCCCCUGAUUCCUCCAUGAGCAUGCAGCUUGGCCCAGAUAUGGUGUAAGGAGCUGGAAAGACAGGAAUGGGAGUGGUCUGUGCAGAUGGGC
Molecule: long non-coding RNA, 248 nt
Filed under: Homo sapiens (human)
Lineage: Eukaryota; Metazoa; Chordata; Mammalia; Primates; Hominidae
Description: non-protein coding lnc-NEMP1-2:1
Source: RNAcentral